GGAAAACUUCUGUUGAUACGAUAUCCUUGUAAUAUCAAGGAAAAAAUAUAUAAUUGAUAAAAUAUUUGAGUUGAUUUCUGUCCUGAUUGAAAAUUAAAGGUCAGCCUAUCCAUUUCAAUGAGGCUUAACAACAUAAUAAGCGGAACCUUCUUUUUAUCUGCUCUCUACAAAGAGGCAGAAGAUGAUUAAAAAAUAGAAAAAAAAAACAAAAAAAUAACUAUAAAAAGAAAUAAAUGAACAUGGGAUGCAUAAGAAAUAACGCUGCUUCAAUAUGAUCACUUGAAACUAGCUACUUUUCUACAGCAAAUUUUCUGCGAGCAGCAGACAAUAACUACACUGAAUUGCAUCACAACCCAAGGAAGACACAUUGCUUUCUUGCAUGCUCUGGUAUCAAUUUUGCCAAGGUUUCAGUUGUGACACCCUUCAAUUCAUGAGAUUUAAAGUUAAACAAUGGUGGAAGGAAACGUCCAUUUGGUAGGCGGGUGUUAGGGUCCCGUAACUCAUCAAAAAAAGGAUGAGUCAAGGCAUCCAACUGCAAUGGAAGUAAAAAAACUAAAAACGUAAGGAUCUAAUCCUUGCAAAACAAGACAGCAUUGAAUCAAACAAAGCAUAAUACAAAAACCCCAGAAACAAUAAUAACAGAACAACUAAAAUGUUCAGUUUCUGUAAUCAAAAUUAUAUCAUAACAUGUUAACAAUCAACUAAGCUCUCUCUAUGCAUUGAUUCCAAUGACUCCUAGGUCUGCAUUAAAUGGUUACACAACUAAUCAAAAGAUUUACAAAAUCUAUCAAAAAGCAACGUAAAUGGAGGGGAGACAUUCACUAAUGUAUCCUUAGAAACUACACACUAGAACAGCGACCUAGAAAGGGAAAAAAAAACUCAC
Molecule: unclassified non-coding RNA, 883 nt
Filed under: Hevea brasiliensis (rubber tree)
Lineage: Eukaryota; Viridiplantae; Streptophyta; Magnoliopsida; Malpighiales; Euphorbiaceae
Source: RNAcentral